CAGCAGCCACGGUAAUACGUAGGUGGCAAGCGUUGUCCGGAAUUAUUGGGCGUAAAGGGCUCGCAGGCGGUUUCUUAAGUCUGAUGUGAAAGCCCCCGGCUCAACCGGGGAGGGUCAUUGGAAACUGGGAAACUUGAGUGCAGAAGAGGAGAGUGGAAUUCCACGUGUAGCGGUGGAAUGCGUAGGGAUGUGGAGGAACACCAGUGGCGAAGGCGACUCUCUGGUCUGUAACUGACGCUGAGGAGCGAAAGCGUGGGGAGCAAACAGGAUUAGAUACCCGCGUAGUCCCUGUCUCUUAUAC
This 301-nucleotide ribosomal RNA is filed under the name uncultured bacterium. RNAcentral describes it as "partial 16S ribosomal RNA". It matches the Rfam family "Bacterial small subunit ribosomal RNA", at positions 509 to 807 of the family's 1533-position model. The record is from RNAcentral.